GGGGAUGUAGCUCAGAGGCACAGCGCCUUCUUGGCAAGAGUGAGGUCCUGAGUUCAAUCCCCGGUACCCCCC
RNAcentral lists this transfer RNA (72 nucleotides) under Heterocephalus glaber (naked mole-rat). It matches the Rfam family "tRNA". Rfam says of the family: Transfer RNA (tRNA) molecules are approximately 80 nucleotides in length. Their secondary structure includes four short double-helical elements and three loops (D, anti-codon, and T loops). The record is from Rfam by way of RNAcentral. Lineage: Eukaryota; Metazoa; Chordata; Mammalia; Rodentia; Bathyergidae.